CUUAGUGGCGGACGGGUGAGUAACGCGUGGGGAACCUGCCCUGUACAGGGGGAUAACACUUAGAAAUAGGUGCUAAUACCGCAUAAGCGCACGGGGCUGCAUGGCCCAGUGUGAAAAACUCCGGUGGUAUAAGAUGGACCCGCGUCUGAUUAGCUUGUUGGCGGGGUAACGGCCCACCAAGGCGACGAUCAGUAGCCGGCCUGAGAGGGUGGACGGCCACAUUGGGACUGAGACACGGCCCAAACUCCUACGGAAGGCAGCAG
RNAcentral lists this ribosomal RNA (263 nucleotides) under uncultured bacterium. RNAcentral describes it as "partial 16S ribosomal RNA". It matches the Rfam family "Bacterial small subunit ribosomal RNA", at positions 91 to 354 of the family's 1533-position model. The record is from RNAcentral.